RNAcentral lists this ribosomal RNA (420 nucleotides) under Chloroflexota bacterium. RNAcentral's name for it is "Chloroflexi bacterium partial 16S ribosomal RNA". It matches the Rfam family "Bacterial small subunit ribosomal RNA", at positions 355 to 776 of the family's 1533-position model. The record is from RNAcentral. Lineage: Bacteria; Bacillati; Chloroflexota.
UGGGGAAUAUUGCACAAUGGGCGAAAGCCUGAUGCAGCGACGCCGCGUGGGGGAUGAAGGCUUUCGGGUUGUAAACCUCUUUCGCUAUCGAACAAGGCCCGCUUAGGGUGGGUUGAGGGUAGGUGGAGAAGAAGCGCCGGCUAACUACGUGCCAGCAGCCGCGGUAAUACGUAGGGUGCAAGCGUUAAUCGGAAUUACUGGGCGUAAAGCGCACGCAGGCGGUUGAUUGAGUCAGAUGUGAAAUCCCCGGGCUUAACCCGGGAAUUGCAUCUGAUACUGGUCAGCUAGAGUCUUGUAGAGGGGGGUAGAAUUCCAUGUGUAGCGGUGAAAUGCGUAGAGAUGUGGAGGAAUACCGGUGGCGAAGGCGGCCCCCUGGACAAAGACUGACGCUCAGGUGCGAAAGCGUGGGGAGCAAACAGG